Molecule: long non-coding RNA, 2883 nt
Filed under: Lynx pardinus (Iberian lynx)
Lineage: Eukaryota; Metazoa; Chordata; Mammalia; Carnivora; Felidae
Source: RNAcentral
GGCACCGGCUCCCCGACCCCGGGAGCGCAGCCCGGCCUUUGCAGGGUGGGCGGCUCCUGGGUCACCAUCUCAGGGGCUGGAAGGCUUUGGCCUUGGAGUCGGUUCGGCUGCUUUGCUGCAGGCCUUGGCGGCCCUCGCUUUCCAAUUGACCUUGCCCCCACUAAAACAGGGAAUAUUCCCAGAGAGAAAGAGGGAGCCUGCGGGGCCUCCGCUGGUUUGUGGGGAGUCACGUAUCACACGGGGAAACUAGGACACCAGAUGCGACAAAAUCCUACCCAGAGACGUGUCCUUUGCAGAGCGAAUGGGCUGGGGGGGGGGCGUUUUUAAAUGGGGGAGAGGAACCAGCCUGUUUUUGUGGGUUUUAUUUUUUAAUAAAGGGAAAGGAGAAAUCAGGGACAGGGUAUAUUUUAAAUAGUUCUUUCCGUUUCUCCAUGGCCUUUCUCCCAAAGCGAACUAAACUCUCCACCCCUUCCUCAGGAAACGGAAUCUGGAGAAUAACUUGUCUUUCCGGUCGCCCCACAUUUCCCCCCACCCCGGACGAAGCCCGGGGUUUCGAUUUUCCAAAGGGCUGGAGUCUGGCAAGGCAAGGACCGGUGCUCAGGGCGCCCUGGCGUGGAGUGUGGAGGCUGGAUCGCUCCUGGAGAGGCCCAAGCCAGCGGCUGCUAGAAAAGGACUUCGGAAAGAAAUCAGCCGAACUCUCUCAUCCAGGGGGCAAGAGAGGAGGCACAGGGGUCCCUGGACCCCCGGGAAUCCUGGAAGAAAAUGUGUAAUGUGUGACUUGUUUGCAGGGCCAGCCAGGGGGAGAGUAGAAAGGGUUUUGUGUUUUCAUUUGCAGGGGUCGCCGUGGGCUCGGCGCAGGGGUUGGCCGGGGCAAGGUUAGGCUGUUUAGGCCCCAGACGAGACUUGGGACAGCCCGGGCGGCACUCAAUCCAGGGAGCCAUUUGUCCCACCGCCCACCCCGCGGGAAACGGCGGAGACUUUAUGGCCACUCUGUUUGUAUUAUCUGCAUAAGUCUUUCCCCACCAGUUUGAUCGAAACUGUUCGCUUUUACGAGGACCCAACGAAAAUUCCCCGUCAUAUUUAUCAGCCGGGGAUAAAAAUUUAGUAUGGGAACUGAUAUUUCCUCAUUUAUGGGGCGAUGAAAUUAAAGACCAAAGCAAUUGAGAAUUAUAUGGCUUUGGGGGGGUUCCCUCCCCCCCUCUUUCACAUCUCCUUUAUUUUCCCGCCCGGUGUGCCUGUCCCUGGAGUUUGGCGUCCCAGUCUCCUGCCCUUGCCCCCUGUUUGGGGGUCUGCUGGGCCCUCUCCUUCACACCCAGGUACCGCUUGGCCAACCUUAGCUUUUCCUAGUUUUUCUCUCGGUGUCCGUAGCUGGGGGCCUCCCGGAGCCUCUGCCCCGGCCACACUGGGAUCUGGCUGGGGUGGUGGAGGGUUGCCAAGAGCUUCGCAGGGGAAGAAUGGGAGCCCAGCCUGGGAGGGGGCGAGGAAGAGGGUGGGGGUGAAGAGGACAAACUCCAGAUUACCUCUCAAAAACAGCAAGCCCCAAGACUUAACCUGGGGAACUAACGGGAGAGGAGCGGAGUCACUCCGCCUCCUCCGGACCGGCUCUCCCUACCAGCCCGACACCCACCCCAAACUCACUCCUUACCUCAGCCAUGGGAGGGGUUGGAGUCGCUUCAGAAUUCUUGCCAUUAUUAAUGGAAAUUAUCCCCCCCCCCCCCCGGGAGAAGGAGCCUCCCGCCUCGGCUCUCACCUCCUCACAAGAACGAAUAGUGUUUAAAGUUGAAAUAAUUAAAAGUAUGAUAAACACGGCCCAUUAAUGAAAAAAGAAAUCAAAUUCAUCAGCCUAAGUGGGACCCCCGGUGGGACAAACGUUUGCCUCUAAUUACGCAGGAUAAACGCAAACCCGGAGCUGUUAAACGAGACCCCGAGCGGACGCAGACUUGAAUAACUUGUUGGGUUUUUGCAGACUUUGGGAUUCUGCCCCAGUGGAGGCGAAAGAAAGGAAAGUGUGAGGGUGAGGAUGGGGGCGAGGGGGGCAUUUGAGCGGGUCCAAGGAGGUACAGUCGGAUGUGGGUCCCAGCCCUGCCCCCUUGGGCUCCGUCUUUUCCGAGGCCACGAGCAAAGGCCGUUUCCGUCCUAUUGUCCGGGCCUGGCGUUCAAAGGCACUCGGGCUGCCACGGCCAAGCCGCUGCCGGCACCCACCGGCCCUACCCCGCAGAGCCAAGACCCUCAGGCCUGCGCCCCUGGGGAACUGGAUUGGGGUCCAGAGAAGUCUGCGCUGCUGCAUUCACCCUGUUAAACCAUUUUCCCAACUUUCCGGGAGGGCUGAGAGACCUGUGCCUAUGUCUGACGCCGGGGCUCCCCUUCUUGCCUCAAUUUGGGGAUGUGAAAAUCCAAGGGCUGCCGGCCAGACCAGUGCUCAGGCUGUGCCUACUUGUCGACCAAUCCCACCCACCCGGACAACCCUGGCAUUGUGUGCGCCUCUUCCCGGUAGGACAGCAGACCCUGGAAGGGCAGCAGGGGUGGGGGGCUGGGCCUGUGGGACUGGGAGUAAGAGAGCGGACAAGGGUGCUCCUUGCUAGCUCCUUGCAUAUUCCAGGAACAUCGGUGGUUCCAGAGGGCAGGCUGAGGGCUGGGGCACUAGGGGUCCCCAUGUGAAAACAGAAGAAGGAAAAUGUAGUGCUCAACGAACAGAAAGGGACCGCGACUGUUUUCCGGGCUCUAGCCCUCCAAGUGCCCCCCAAAAACACCCCGAUUUUUCCAAGAAAAAAUUAGAGUUUCCCAAAGAGGUUCAGGAAACCAUCUGGGAAAUUCCAAAGGUGAAGUGAAAAAAGGAAGAGUGUCUCUCCCUUUGGGGUAAAAUAAUAAAAUAAAAUAAUAAUG